This 391-nucleotide ribosomal RNA is filed under the name uncultured Oscillatoria sp. RNAcentral's name for it is "bacterial SSU rRNA". It matches the Rfam family "Bacterial small subunit ribosomal RNA", at positions 376 to 770 of the family's 1533-position model. Lineage: Bacteria; Bacillati; Cyanobacteriota; Cyanophyceae; Oscillatoriales; Oscillatoriaceae. The record is from RNAcentral.
CGAAAGCCUGACGGAGCAAGACCGCGUGGGGGAAGAAGGCUCUUGGGUUGUAAACCCCUUUUCUCUGGGAAGAAAGUUGUGAAAGCAACCUGACGGUACCAGAGGAAUCAGCAUCGGCUAACUCCGUGCCAGCAGCCGCGGUAAGACGGAGGAUGCAAGCGUUAUCCGGAAUGAUUGGGCGUAAAGCGUCCGCAGGUGGCAGUUCAAGUCUGCUGUCAAAGACUGGGGCUUAACUUCGGAAAGGCAGUGGAAACUGAACAGCUAGAGUAUGGUAGGGGCAGAGGGAAUUCCUGGUGUAGCGGUGAAAUGCGUAGAGAUCAGGAGGAACAUCGGUGGCGAAGGCGCUCUGCUGGACCAUAACUGACACUCAGGGACGAAAGCUAGGGGAGCG